UAGGGAAUCUUCCGCAAUGGGCGAAAGCCUGACGGAGCAACGCCGCGUGAGUGAUGAAGGUCUUCGGAUCGUAAAACUCUGUUAUUAGGGAAGAACAAAUGUGUAAGUAACUAUGCACGUCUUGACGGUACCUAAUCAGAAAGCCACGGCUAACUACGUGCCAGCAGCCGCGGUAAUACGUAGGUGGCAAGCGUUAUCCGGAAUUAUUGGGCGUAAAGCGCGCGUAGGCGGUUUUUUAAGUCUGAUGUGAAAGCCCACGGCUCAACCGUGGAGGGUCAUUGGAAACGGGAAAGCUUGAGUGCAGAAGAGGAAAGUGGAAUUCCAUGUGUAGCGGUGAAAUGCGCAGAGAUAUGGAGGAACACCAGUGGCGAAGGCGACUUUCUGGUCUGUAACUGACGCUGAUGUGCGAAAGCGUGGGGAUCAAACAGG
This 429-nucleotide ribosomal RNA is filed under the name Actinomycetes bacterium. RNAcentral describes it as "Actinobacteria bacterium partial 16S ribosomal RNA". It matches the Rfam family "Bacterial small subunit ribosomal RNA", at positions 355 to 776 of the family's 1533-position model. The record is from RNAcentral. Lineage: Bacteria; Bacillati; Actinomycetota; Actinomycetes.